GAUGAACGCUAGCCACAGGCUUAACACAUGCAAGUCGAGGGGUAGCAGGGUAGCAAUACCGCUGACGACCGGCGCACGGGUGAGUAACACGUAUCCAACCUUCCCAUAACUCGGGGAUAGCCUUUCGACAGAAAGAUUAAUACCCGAUAGUCCUAAUUUAAGGCAUCUUAUUUAAGUUAAAGAUUUAUUGGUUAUGGAUGGGGAUGCGUUCCAUUAGAUAGUUGGUGAGGUAACGGCUCACCAAGUCUUCGAUGGAUAGGGGUUCUGAGAGGAAGGUCCCCCACAUUGGUACUGAGACACGGACCAAACUCCUACGGGAGGCAGCAGUAAGGAAUAUUGGUCAAUGGGCGAGAGCCUGAACCAGCCAAGUAGCGUGAAGGAUGAAGGUCCUAUGGAUUGUAAACUUCUUUUAUAGUAGAAUAAAGUUAGCCACGUGUGGUUAUUUGUAUGUAUACUAUGAAUAAGGAUCGGCUAACUCCGUGCCAGCCGCCGCCGUAA
RNAcentral lists this ribosomal RNA (498 nucleotides) under uncultured bacterium. RNAcentral's name for it is "partial 16S ribosomal RNA". It matches the Rfam family "Bacterial small subunit ribosomal RNA", at positions 28 to 523 of the family's 1533-position model. The record is from RNAcentral.